CAAAGGCUUCGGCCGGUAAAGGAUGGGGAUGCGUCUGAUUAGCUUGCCGGCGGGGUAACGGCCCACCGGGGCGACGAUCAGUAGGGGUUCUGAGAGGAAGGUCCCCCACAUUGGAACUGAGACACGGUCCAAACUCCUACGGGAGGCAGCAGUGAGGAAUAUUGGUCAAUGGGCGCGAGCCUGAACCAGCCAAGUAGCGUGCAGGACGACGGCCCUAUGGGUUGUAAACUGCUUUUAUACGGGGAUAAAGUAUGCCACGUGUGGUUUAUUGCAGGUACCGUAUGAAUAAGGACCGGCUAAUUCCGUGCCAGCAGCCGCGGUAAUACGGAAGGUCCGGGCGUUAUCCGGAUUUAUUGGGUUUAAAGGGAGCGUAGGCCGGAUUUUAAGCGUGCCGUGAAAUGUCGGGGCUCAACCUUGACACUGCGGCGCGAACUGGAGUCCUUGAGUGCGCGGAACGUAUGCGGAAUUCGUGGUGUAGCGGUGAAAUGCUUAGAUAUCACGAAGAACCCCGAUUGCGAAGGCAGCAUACGGCAGCGCUACUGACGCUGAAGCUCGAAGGCGCGGGUAUCGAACAGGAUUAGAUACCCUGGUAGUCCGCGCGGUAAACGAUGGAUGCCCGCUGUUGGCGAUAUAUUGUCA
RNAcentral lists this ribosomal RNA (639 nucleotides) under uncultured bacterium. RNAcentral's name for it is "bacterial SSU rRNA". It matches the Rfam family "Bacterial small subunit ribosomal RNA", at positions 202 to 842 of the family's 1533-position model. The record is from RNAcentral.